GUCGCUGAUGCAGAGGAAAGAAAACCUUUCCAACUAGGCGAGUUUUUUCCUAGUUUAUGAUGAUCGCGUGGUGGCUAUUGGUCUUGAUUACGGUCAUCAGUGAUUGGGGAAGCUCAAAUUUUCGAGUAAAUUAAUAACCCAACUUAGGUUUUGUUUCAUUAUCAUCUCCUGUUUAUAUUUAAAAGAAAAUUUUAGUACUAAUUGUUUUGCUAAGGGGCAAGUAAUUAGCACUCGUAAAAUAAAAUUUUGGCAAGGGCUCAAUUCAGUCCUUGAGAAUUGAUCAAAUGAUCACAUAAGUUUU
Molecule: unclassified non-coding RNA, 301 nt
Filed under: Hevea brasiliensis (rubber tree)
Lineage: Eukaryota; Viridiplantae; Streptophyta; Magnoliopsida; Malpighiales; Euphorbiaceae
Source: RNAcentral